GGAGGGGUGGCCGAGUGGUUGAAGGCAACGGUCUUGAAAACCGUCAACGCGCAAGCGUUCGUGGGUUCGAAUCCCACCCCCUCCG
This 85-nucleotide transfer RNA is filed under the name Candidatus Synechococcus spongiarum 142. Its description in RNAcentral is "tRNA-Ser". It matches the Rfam family "tRNA". From Rfam's summary of the family: Transfer RNA (tRNA) molecules are approximately 80 nucleotides in length. Their secondary structure includes four short double-helical elements and three loops (D, anti-codon, and T loops). The record is from RNAcentral. Lineage: Bacteria; Bacillati; Cyanobacteriota; Cyanophyceae; Synechococcales; Synechococcaceae. RNAcentral also lists the same sequence under 20 other names.